AUUGAACGCUGGCGGAAUGCUUUACACAUGCAAGUCGAACGGCAGCAUAGGUGCUUGCACCUGAUGGCGAGUGGCGAACGGGUGAGUAAUACAUCGGAACGUGCCCAGUCGUGGGGGAUAACGUAGCGAAAGUUACGCUAAUACCGCAUACGAUCUACGGAUGAAAGCGGGGGACCGUAAGACCUCGCGCGAUUAGAGCGGCCGAUGCCUGAUUAGCUAGUUGGUGGGGUAAAAGCCCACCAAGGCGACGAUCAGUAGCUGGUCUGAGAGGACGAUCAGCCACACUGGGACUGAGACACGGCCCAGACUCCUACGGGAGGCAGCAGUGGGGAAUUUUGGACAAUGGGGGCAACCCUGAUCCAGCAAUGCCGCGUGAGUGAAGAAGGCCUUCGGGUUGUAAAGCUCUUUUGUCAGGGAAGAAACACCGGCUCUAACACAGUCCGGGAAUGACGGUACCUGAAGAAUAAGCACCGGCUAACUUCGUG
RNAcentral lists this ribosomal RNA (485 nucleotides) under uncultured bacterium. RNAcentral describes it as "bacterial SSU rRNA". It matches the Rfam family "Bacterial small subunit ribosomal RNA", at positions 30 to 507 of the family's 1533-position model. The record is from RNAcentral.